Molecule: ribosomal RNA, 119 nt
Filed under: uncultured bacterium
Lineage: Bacteria
Description: partial 16S ribosomal RNA
Rfam family: Bacterial small subunit ribosomal RNA
Source: RNAcentral
CGUUCCCGGGGCCUUGUACACACCGCCCGUCACACCACGAAAGCCGGAAAACACCCCGAAGUCCCGUGCGCCAACCCCUUGGGAGGCAGCGGCCGAAGGUGGAGUCGGUGAUUGGGGUG